This is a long non-coding RNA of Nematolebias whitei (Rio pearlfish), 326 nucleotides long. RefSeq lists it as uncharacterized. Lineage: Eukaryota; Metazoa; Chordata; Actinopteri; Cyprinodontiformes; Rivulidae. The transcript has 2 exons. The record is from RefSeq and is a predicted model, not a curated record.
AAAAAUAGAAGAGUAAUUUUUUCGGAGUUAACAUUAUUUUCAUCUAAAAGAGUCAUGUUUAUACAUUAUAGAGUAAAAUCGUGUCAAUUGGUCAAUAGAAUCGGAGGAAAAAAACAGAGUAAAUCAUAUCGGAGUAAAACAAGAAAAACGCCCACUGAAGUUCGUUAAGUUUCGUUUCUUCCACCAUUUUGUUUUCCCGCAUUGGACCGGAGGCGACGGUCUGCUUUGUGCCAGGAUGCAAGCUGUGCGUGUCAAACAUAGAGAUCGACAGAAAUACAUCUGUUUUGAAGGCCAACUGACUUACAGUUCAUUUUUGGAAUGUGGUG